RNAcentral lists this ribosomal RNA (253 nucleotides) under uncultured bacterium. RNAcentral's name for it is "partial 16S ribosomal RNA". It matches the Rfam family "Bacterial small subunit ribosomal RNA", at positions 524 to 776 of the family's 1533-position model. The record is from RNAcentral.
UACGUAGGUGGCAAGCGUUGUCCGGAAUUACUGGGCGUAAGGAGCGCGCAGGCGGCUGGUCAAGUCCGAUGUGAAAGCUCCCGGCUUAACUGGGAAAUUGCAUCGGAAACUGAUCGGCUUGAAGGUGGGAGAGGGUAGUGGAAUUCCCGGUGUAGUGGUGAAAUGCGUAGAUAUCGGGAGGAACACCAGUGGCGAAGGCGACUACCUGGCCCACUCUUGACGCUGAGGCGCGAAAGCUAGGGGAGCGAACGGG